AGACAAUAGAUACCCAGGUAGUCCACGCCGUAAACGAUGGAUGCUAGCUGUUAUCAGUAUCGACCCUGGUAGUAGCGAAGCUAACGCGUUAAGCAUCCCGCCUGGGGAGUACGGUCGCAAGAUUAAAACUCAAAGGAAUUGACGGGGACCCGCACAAGCGGUGGAGCGUGUUGUUUAAUUCGACGCUAAGCGAAGAACCUUACCAAGGUUUGACAUCUCGGGAAAGUCUCCGAAAGGAGACCGUGCCUUCGGGAACCCGAUGACAGGUGUUGCAUGGCCGUCGUCAGCUCGUGUCGUGAGAUGUUUGGUUAAGUCCAUCAACGAGCGCAACCCUUGUAGUCUGUUGUAUUUCUCAGGCUAGACUGCCCCGGUAACGGGGAGGAAGGAGGGAUGAUGUCAGGUCAGUAUUACCCUUACACCUUGGGCCACAAACACGCUACAAUGGCCGAUACAAAGGGCUGCCAAGCAGCAAUGCGGAGCAAAUCCCAUCAAAGUCGGUCUCAGUUCGGAUUGUUGGCUGAAACUCGCCAGC
Molecule: ribosomal RNA, 532 nt
Filed under: uncultured bacterium
Lineage: Bacteria
Description: bacterial SSU rRNA
Rfam family: Bacterial small subunit ribosomal RNA
Source: RNAcentral